CCGAUCACGGUGGAAUCGACGGUUAUAACCUGUCCUCGUCGCCAUCGUCAUCGGCGCCGUCGACAUCAUCGUCGUCAGUCCCGAUCGGCUGCGUCGCGGGUGACCGUCCAAUAGCGGUGCUUCUACAGACAAAGCCUACGUGCUAGAACUGUGAGGGGUCCGGAGAGCACGAA
Molecule: long non-coding RNA, 173 nt
Organism: Dufourea novaeangliae
Lineage: Eukaryota; Metazoa; Arthropoda; Insecta; Hymenoptera; Halictidae
Exons: 3
Source: RefSeq, a predicted model, not a curated record